RNAcentral lists this ribosomal RNA (292 nucleotides) under uncultured bacterium. RNAcentral's name for it is "partial 16S ribosomal RNA". It matches the Rfam family "Bacterial small subunit ribosomal RNA", at positions 505 to 796 of the family's 1533-position model. The record is from RNAcentral.
GUGUCAGCCGCCGCGGUAAUACGUAGGGCGCAAGCGUUGUCCGGAAUUAUUGGGCGUAAAGAGCUCGUAGGCGGCUUGUCACGUCGAUUGUGAAAGCCCGAGGCUUAACCUCGGGUCUGCAGUCGAUACGGGCUAGCUAGAGUGUGGUAGGGGAGAUCGGAAUUCCUGGUGUAGCGGUGAAAUGCGCAGAUAUCAGGAGGAACACCGGUGGCGAAGGCGGAUCUCUGGGCCAUUACUGACGCUGAGGAGCGAAAGCGUGGGGAGCGAACAGGAUUAGAAACCCUGGUAGUCC